GCUUGAUGCAGCACUGCCGCGUGUGUGAAGAACGUCUUCGGUUUGUAAACUCCUUUUGUUAGGGAAGAAAGUGUGGUAGCUAAUAGCUGCUAGAUCUGACAUUACCUAGACAAUCACCACCGGCAUAAUCUGUGCCAGCAGCC
Molecule: ribosomal RNA, 143 nt
Filed under: uncultured Pseudomonas sp.
Lineage: Bacteria; Pseudomonadati; Pseudomonadota; Gammaproteobacteria; Pseudomonadales; Pseudomonadaceae
Description: partial 16S ribosomal RNA
Source: RNAcentral